CAGUCGCCGCGGUAAUACAGAGGGUGCAAGCGUUAAUCGGAAUUACUGGGCGUAAAGCGCGCGCAGGCGGUUUGUUAAGUUGGAUGUGAAAUCCCCGGGCUCAACCUGGGAACUGCAUCCAAAACUGGCAAGCUAGAGUAUGGUAGAGGGUGGUGGAAUUUCCUGUGUAGCGGUGAAAUGCGUAGAUAUCGGGAGGAAUACCAGUGGCGAAGGCGACCACCUGGACUGAGACUGACACUGAGGUGCGAAAGCGUGGGGAGCAAACAGGAUUAGAUACCCCAGUAGUCCCUGUCUCUUAUAC
Molecule: ribosomal RNA, 301 nt
Filed under: uncultured bacterium
Lineage: Bacteria
Description: partial 16S ribosomal RNA
Rfam family: Bacterial small subunit ribosomal RNA
Source: RNAcentral